GUGGGGAAUUUUGGACAAUGGGCGCAAGCCUGAUCCAGCAAUGCCGCGUGUGUGAAGAAGGCCUUCGGGUUGUAAAGCACUUUUGUCCGGAAAGAAAUCUCCUGGGUUAAUACCUCGGGGGAUAACGGUACCGGCAGAAUAAGCACCGGCUAACUACGUGCCAGCAGCCGCGGUAAUACGUAGGGUGCGAGCGUUAAUCGGAAUUACUGGGCGUAAAGCGUGCGCAGGCGGCUAUGCAAGACAGAUGUGAAAUCCCCGGGGUCAAACUGGGAACUGCAUUUGGGACUGCAUGGCUAGAGUGCGUCAGAGGGAGGUGGAAUUCCGCGUGUAGCAGUGAAAUGCGUAGAGAUGCGGAGGAACACCGAUGGCGAAGGCAGCCUCCUGGGAUGACACUGACGCUCAUGCACGAAAGCGUGGGGAGCAAACAGGAUUAGAUACCCCAGUAGUCC
This 449-nucleotide ribosomal RNA is filed under the name uncultured bacterium. RNAcentral's name for it is "partial 16S ribosomal RNA". It matches the Rfam family "Bacterial small subunit ribosomal RNA", at positions 354 to 796 of the family's 1533-position model. The record is from RNAcentral.